UGGGUGGUCCUGGUGGCUAUCAGACAUCACCGAUCAUGGUGAUGCCCGGAUUUAACCCCAAUCAAAUUUGAUUGUAACAUCUAAAAUACAAGUAACAAUGUCCAGGCAGCUCUGUGAAAUGAUACGUUGCCCAGUCUGCACCAGCAAGACAUGCUUGACAAAUGGGUGAAGAGGUGACACUGUCCUGAUUUCGGAGCCAGGGUACCUUUCACAGUUCAGGAAAACCAAGAAGUAAGAAAAAUCUUUUGUAUGCAGAUCUCUGGAGGAAAGAAGAACAUAGAACUCCUAGCAAGGUUUUACAGCAUUCAGCGACAUAUACACCUGCCGGGAUUAUCAAAACCAACAUAAGAGGCGUUUAUGAAUCCUCCA
Long non-coding RNA from Hyla sarda, 369 nucleotides. RefSeq lists it as uncharacterized. The transcript is spliced from 3 exons. The record is from RefSeq and is a predicted model, not a curated record. Lineage: Eukaryota; Metazoa; Chordata; Amphibia; Anura; Hylidae.